AUUGAACGCUGGCGGCAUGCCUUACACAUGCAAGUCGAACGGCAGCACGGGAGCAAUCCUGGUGGCGAGUGGCGAACGGGUGAGUAAAGUAUCGGAACGUGCCCCGUCGUGGGGGAUAACGUAGCGAAAGUUACGCUAAUACCGCAUACGAUCUAUGGAUGAAAGCGGGGGAUCGCAAGACCUCGCGCGAUUGGAGCGGCCGAUAUCAGAUUAGGUGGUUGGUGGGGUAAAGGCUCACCAAGCCGACGAUCUGUAGCUGGUCUGAGAGGACGACCAGCCACACUGGGACUGAGACACGGACCAGACUCCUACGGUAGGCAGCAGUGGGGAAUUUUGGCCAAUGGGCGCAAGUCUGAUCCAGCCAUGCCGCGUGCAGGAUGAAGGCCUUCGGGUUGUAAACUGCUUUUGUACGGAACGAAAAGGUUUGGCUUAAUACGUUGAACUCAUGACGGUACCGUAAGAAUAAGCACCGGCUAACUACGUGCCAGCAGCCGCCGUAA
Molecule: ribosomal RNA, 500 nt
Filed under: uncultured bacterium
Lineage: Bacteria
Description: partial 16S ribosomal RNA
Rfam family: Bacterial small subunit ribosomal RNA
Source: RNAcentral